GACGAACGCUGGCGGCGUGCUUAACACAUGCAAGUCGAACGGAAAGGCCCUGCUUUUGUGGGGUGCUCGAGUGGCGAACGGGUGAGUAACACGUGAGUAACCUGCCCUUGACUUUGGGAUAACUUCAGGAAACUGGGGCUAAUACCGGAUAGGAGCUCCUGCUGCAUGGGGGGGGUUGGAAAGCUUCGGCGGUUGGGGAUGGACUCGCGGCUUAUCAGCUUGUGGGUGGGGUAGUGGCUUACCAAGGCUUUGACGGGUAGCCGGCCUGAGAGGGUGACCGGCCACAUUGGGACUGAGAUACGGCCCAGACUCCUCCGGGAGGCAGCAGUGGGGAAUAUUGCACAAUGGGCGGAAGCCUGAUGCAGCAACGCCGCGUGCGGGAUGACGGCCUUCGGGUUGUAAACCGCUUUCGCCUGUGACGAAGAGUGAGUGACGGUAAUGGGUAAAGAAGCACCGGCUAACUACGUG
This 468-nucleotide ribosomal RNA is filed under the name uncultured bacterium. Its description in RNAcentral is "partial 16S ribosomal RNA". It matches the Rfam family "Bacterial small subunit ribosomal RNA", at positions 28 to 507 of the family's 1533-position model. The record is from RNAcentral.